This 253-nucleotide ribosomal RNA is filed under the name uncultured bacterium. Its description in RNAcentral is "partial 16S ribosomal RNA". It matches the Rfam family "Bacterial small subunit ribosomal RNA", at positions 1247 to 1500 of the family's 1533-position model. The record is from RNAcentral.
CAGCGAAGCCGCGAGGCGGAGCAAAUCUCCAAAAAAUGUCUCAGUUCAGAUUGCAGGCUGCAACUCGCCUGCAUGAAGUCGGAAUUGCUAGUAAUCGUAGGUCAGCAUACUACGGUGAAUACGUUCCCGGGCCUUGUACACACCGCCCGUCAAACCAUGAGAGUUGGCAACACCCGAAGUCGGUAGUCUAACCGCAAGGAGGACGCCGCCGAAGGUGGGGUCGAUGAUUAGGGUUAAGUCGUAACAAGGUACC